GCUACUGCACCGCCAUCUUUACGUUCCCUAACAUUCUGUAUUCCUAUGGGUCUCAAUGGGAAAUCUUCUGUUUUGCAGCAUUACCUUCAGCGACGCACGUGUUACCUCAGUAGAAACAAGUUUAAGAAACUGAGUGCAGGCCUGAAUAUGGCCCAGCUCACUGGCAUAAUUUCUAAAGUGGUCAAUUGGAAUUGACGAGGAGCACAUGGAUAUUGUAGAAGUUAAACAAGGAGGAAAAGCUGUAUGAGGAGACAGUAGUCAGCCUGGCUUCACUGAAGAGCUGUUUUAACAGUACAAGCUUGCCCAGAGUUUUCCUAAGACGUUUGGAGUGUGAUGCAGCACAUGUUUCCUUGGCAAUGAAGUGGAGCCUGAUGUUAGUGCAGCUUUCUGCAAUGCACUUUGAGUUUGAAGAUGUGAUUGUUAUAUGGUUCUAGGUUGAACAUGUGUGCCUCAAGUUCCUUGAAUGCAGAACCACCAUGGAGUUCCAGAACCUUUGUGGGGACAGAGAAGGGCCUUGUGAGUGUGUGCUGUUGAAUACAUUUCUCAGCUGUCUUGCAGACUUUCAGGACACUGUCUGAUGGUCUGAUAAGUCCACCUCGGGACUUCAUGUCGAUCAGUGUGUUCAUCUUGGGAAGAGCUCUCAGCACUAAGUGCUGAUAAACAGGCUGAACGUCACUUUGCCUGAAAUGCCAGUAUAUCAGAAGGUGUUGCCUCCAGUACCACUGUGCUAUCCUGUGGAGAACAGUUGCCACUAGCUCUGAUGGCUGACUUAAAUUGCCUUGCUGUGGGAUUGUUAUUAAAUCCAUUAGCAGAUUUGUCCCCACAUAUGUCUAGACAAUUUUUAUUGUAUUGUUCAGUUUAA
This is a long non-coding RNA of Myxocyprinus asiaticus (Chinese sucker), 862 nucleotides long. RefSeq lists it as uncharacterized. Lineage: Eukaryota; Metazoa; Chordata; Actinopteri; Cypriniformes; Catostomidae. The record is from RefSeq and is a predicted model, not a curated record. The transcript is spliced from 6 exons.